AAGGAAGAAGUAUGGAGUUAAAGACUGCAGCGUGAACUGAGGAGUCCCGGACAGGCCGCUUGCUGCAGAGGAUCCAGUCCAGAUCCCAGGAGAGCCCCUCUGCCCCUUCGGACCUCGUCUCCCAUCUACAAAACGUGAAGAUUGGCCCAGUUAGCGUGUCUCUACAAAAAGGUGCAUAUACCACUGAAGCUGCUUUGUUUGCUUUUGUGUGUCGGAUUGAACUUUUCUUUCAUGAAUCACGGUUAGGAAAGGCUUCUCUUGUUUUCUGCUAAUAAAAAGACAGCUUGGGCCAGGCGUGGUGGCUCACACUGUAAUCCCAGCACUUUGGGAGGCCGAGGCAGGCGGAUCACCUGAGGCCAGGAGUUCGAGACCAGCCUGACCAACGUGGGGAAACCCUGUUUCCACUAAAAAUACAAAAUUAGCUGGCAUGGUGGCAUGCACCUGUAAUCCCAGCUAUUUGGGAAACUGAGGCAGGAGAAUCACUUGAGCCCAGGAGGCAGAGGGUCACUGAGCCGAGAUCAUCCCAUUGCACUCCAGCCUGGACUAAAAGAGUGAAACUAUGUCUCAAAGG
RNAcentral lists this long non-coding RNA (571 nucleotides) under Homo sapiens (human). RNAcentral describes it as "non-protein coding lnc-SCRT2-1:1". Lineage: Eukaryota; Metazoa; Chordata; Mammalia; Primates; Hominidae. The record is from RNAcentral.